This 1695-nucleotide long non-coding RNA is filed under the name Anser brachyrhynchus (Pink-footed goose). RNAcentral's name for it is "lncRNA (ENSABRG00000016635.1)". Lineage: Eukaryota; Metazoa; Chordata; Aves; Anseriformes; Anatidae. The record is from RNAcentral.
CAGCAAGGUUUUGCAUGCUGUUUUUUCCUGUCAUUUUAUCAGGAGAAAUGGUACCCAGAACUGGACUGCACUGUAACUUCAAGGCCUUCUGAGACUGAGGAGAAGGUAGAAGGAAUAUUGUAGAAUGCAACAGGAAGCAGAUGGAGGCUUGUGCCACCUGUGGGAAGGAUGCUGAGGAUGCAUUUCUGGCAGCAAAGCAGCCCUUCUGUGGUACCACACGAGGAAAAACUUCUCCACCCAGAACCUGCUGUGCCCAUUGGAGGAGAACCUUCCCUGGGCCAUGGGCAGCAGUGACCAGUGGUGCUUACACUUAUGCUAAGGAUGUUAACUCUGGCCAGGGAAAGGACAAGAGAACAAGAGCUUCUGGGAAAGCACCUACUACUGAGCCGCCUCCUCUCUGACUUCUCCACAGUCAUGGGAGCACAGCAGGACCGAAGCCAGGAGGAGGAAGGGAAUGUCAGUAACUUGAACCAUUUCGCACCAUUCACAAGCUGCAACAAAGGAUUUGUGACUUUGAAAGAGCAAUUGCUGGUUGUUGGCCGCUAAUCCUCUAGAGGGCGAAUGCUCCCUGUUUUAUCAUAAAGCCUCACAGAAGCAGGAUUUUGUCCUGUAUUACAGUAUUGCAUCUACCCUUGUCUCAUUUAAAACUGAUGUUAUCUCCCUGUCUUAUGGCAAAGCCUCAGCUUAACCCUUGCUUUCUUGUUGGUCACACUGCUGGUUUGAGCUUCCUUCCUUUUACCGCUCGCAUCGCCUUAUUGAUCGUGCUGCUGGCCAAAAGGAGCUUGCUGUUGACACAGUUGGCAGUGGGAAAAGCCGUGCAUUUAUAUCUCAUUAGCUAGGUAGGAUUACAUUAGAAAGCUAAAAUUUGACACUGCUGCAAAAUGAUAAAAUGCCUCCAGCAUUAUUCACUGUCUUCUCUGAAAACCAAGUGCAGUUAUUGCGUGUGCAAUUUAUAACUUCCUUUUUAAAGGAUCUGGGCUGAGACAUGGAUUUCCACUGAAACCAUGCAAAAUUCAUAAUAUGUGGUUGAGGCUGGGUUUUUCUUGUUUACCUUUCCACAAAACUAGCCAUGGCAUAACAGCUUUGAGGUGAGAUCAUUUUAACUUGAAAUUUAAAGCAAAAUCUGGUGGGUUUGCAAACGGAGCCAAAGGGAACUGUGCUUUAAAAUGCCAUAAAAAUGCUGACAAUCCUGAAAAAUCAGGCUGCAGGCAUUUCACGAUAGGAGCAAAAAUGGAUAGUCUUUUGUCAUAAAUACAAAGAGCAAUACCUACCUUUUCCCAGCAUAGUGAAGAUAAGGCCAUGGUUGUGUGGUACAAGACUACACGACGUUCCAAAUAGGAAUCGCUAGCUUCAGGUAAUUUGGUACAGCUAAACAGCAAGGUACAUUACCAUUCAGAGACACUUGUCUGAGUUACAGAAAGUGUGAUUCUCAUACCAUAACAAAAGCCUCUCCAUAGGAAUAGAUGCAACAUGACACUGAUGCAUUUAUAACAGUCCUGGUUUUGUGACUAGCUUGUCCAACACUCCACUGCUUGGUGCAGGUACUCCUAGAAUUAAGGAAUAUUUGUGAAAAACUGAGCAACGGCUAUGAAGAAUAACACACAAAAGCCCAUGAAGAGAUGGGAAUCCUGUACACCCUCAAGGCUUUAAAUGGCAUGCAAUAAAUAAAAUCACAGCACUGAGUGACCUGAGGUU